This 234-nucleotide ribosomal RNA is filed under the name uncultured bacterium. RNAcentral's name for it is "partial 16S ribosomal RNA". It matches the Rfam family "Bacterial small subunit ribosomal RNA", at positions 99 to 334 of the family's 1533-position model. The record is from RNAcentral.
CGGACGGGUGAGUAAUACUUAGGAAUCUGCCCAUUAGUGGGGGACAACUCGAGGAAACUCGAGCUAAUACCGCAUACGCCCUACGGGGGAAAGCGGAGGACCUUUCGGGGCUUCGCGCUAAUGGAUGAGCCUAAGUCGGAUUAGCUUGUUGGUGAGGUAAAGGCUCACCAAGGCGACGAUCCGUAGCUGGUCUGAGAGGACGAUCAGCCACACUGGGACUGAGACACGGCCCAG